GACGAACGCUGGCGGCGUGCUUAACACAUGCAAGUCGAACGAAGAGCGAUGGAAGCUUGCUUCUAUCAAUCUUAGUGGCGAACGGGUGAGUAACGCGUAAUCAACCUGCCCUUCAGAGGGGGACAACAGUUGGAAACGACUGCUAAUACCGCAUACGAGCUAAUCUCGGCAUCGAGGAUAGAUGAAAGGUGGCCUCUACAUGUAAGCUAUCACUGAAGGAGGGGAUUGGGUCUGAUUAGGAAGCUGGAGGGGGAACGGCCCACCAAGGCGAUGAUCAGUAACCGGUCUGAGGGGAUGAACGGCCACAAUGGGACUGAGACACGGCCCAGGCUCCUACGGGAGGCAGCAGUGGGGAAUCUUCCGCAAUGGACGAAAGUCUGACGGAGCAACGCCGCGUGAGUGAUGACGGCCUUCGGGUUGUAAAGCUCUGUUAAUCGGGACGAAAGGCCUUCUUGCGAAUAGUGAGAAGGAUUGACGGUACCGGAAUAGAAAGCCACGGCUAACUACGUG
RNAcentral lists this ribosomal RNA (510 nucleotides) under uncultured bacterium. RNAcentral's name for it is "partial 16S ribosomal RNA". It matches the Rfam family "Bacterial small subunit ribosomal RNA", at positions 28 to 507 of the family's 1533-position model. The record is from RNAcentral.